AGAGUUUGAUCCUGGCUCAGGACGAACGCUGGCGGCGCGCCUAACACAUGCAAGUCGAACGAGAGAUGAGGAGCUUGCUCUUCAAAUCGAGUGGCGAACGGGUGAGUAACGCGUGAGGAACCUGCCUCAAAGAGGGGGACAACAGUUGGAGACGACUGCUAAUACCGCAUAAGCCCACGGCUCGGCAUCGAGCAGAGGGAAAAGGAGCAAUCCGCUUUGAGAUGGCCUCGCGUCCGAUUAGCUAGUUGGUGAGGUAACGGCCCACCAAGGCGACGAUCGGUAGCCGGACUGAGAGGUUGAGCGGCCACAUUGGGACUGAGACACGGCCCAGACUCCUACGGGAGGCAGCAGUGGGGAAUAUUGCACAAUGGGGGAAACCCUGAUGCAGCGACGCCGCGUGGAGGAAGAAGGUCUUCGGAUUGUAAACUCCUGUUGUUGAGGAAGAUAAUGACGGUACUCAACAAGGAAGUGACGGCUAACUACGUGCCAGCAGCCGCGGUAGAACGUAGGUCACAAGCGUUGUCCGGAAUUACUGGGUGUAAAGGGAGCGCAGGCGGGAGAACAAGUUGGAAGUGAAAUCCAUGGGCUCAACCCAUGAACUGCUUUCAAAACUGUUUUUCUUGAGUAGUGCAGAGGUAGGCGGAAUUCCCGGUGUAGCGGUGGAAUGCGUAGAUAUCGGGAGGAACACCAGUGGCGAAGGCGGCCUACUGGGCACCAACUGACGCUGAGGCUCGAAAGUGUGGGUAGCAAACAGGAUUAGAUACCCUGGUAGUCCACACCGUAAACGAUGAUUACUAGGUGUUGGAGGAUUGACCCCUUCAGUGCCGCAGUUAACACAAUAAGUAAUCCACCUGGGGAGUACGACCGCAAGGUUGAAACUCAAAGGAAUUGACGGGGGCCCGCACAAGCAGUGGAGUAUGUGGUUUAAUUCGACGCAACGCGAAGAACCUUACCAAGUCUUGACAUCCCUUGACGAUGCUGGAAACAGUAUUUCUCUUCGGAGCAAGGAGACAGGUGGUGCAUGGUUGUCGUCAGCUCGUGUCGUGAGAUGUUGGGUUAAGUCCCGCAACGAGCGCAACCCUUAUGGUCAGUUACUACGCAAGAGGACUCUGGCCAGACUGCCGUUGACAAAACGGAGGAAGGUGGGGAUGACGUCAAAUCAUCAUGCCCUUUAUGACUUGGGCUACACACGUACUACAAUGGCGUUAAACAAAGAGAAGCAAGACCGCGAGGUGGAGCAAAACUCAGAAACAACGUCCCAGUUCGGACUGCAGGCUGCAACUCGCCUGCACGAAGUCGGAAUUGCUAGUAAUCGUGGAUCAGCAUGCCACGGUGAAUACGUUCCCGGGCCUUGUACACACC
This 1362-nucleotide ribosomal RNA is filed under the name metagenome. RNAcentral's name for it is "bacterial SSU rRNA". It matches the Rfam family "Bacterial small subunit ribosomal RNA". The record is from RNAcentral.